RNAcentral lists this ribosomal RNA (324 nucleotides) under uncultured Bacillota bacterium. RNAcentral describes it as "bacterial SSU rRNA". It matches the Rfam family "Bacterial small subunit ribosomal RNA", at positions 28 to 351 of the family's 1533-position model. The record is from RNAcentral. Lineage: Bacteria; Bacillati; Bacillota.
GACGAACGCUGGCGGCGUGCCUAACACAUGCAAGUCGAGCGAUGAAAUCCUUUCGGGGAUGGAUUAGCGGCGGACGGGUGAGUAACACGUGGGUAACCUGCCUCAUAGUGGGGGAUAGCCUUCCGAAAGGGAGAUUAAUACCGCAUAAGAAGCAGAAAUCGCAUGAUUUCAGCUUUAAAGGAGUAAUCCGCUAUGAGAUGGACCCGCGGCGCAUUAGCUAGUUGGUAAGGUAAUGGCUUACCAAGGCGACGAUGCGUAGCCGACCUGAGAGGGUGAUCGGCCACAUUGGAACUGAGAUACGGUCCAGACUCCUACGGGAGGCAG